AAGUCCUUCAGAUAGGAUCUCUGAAGGCAGCGUCUGGUCAGAUGUCUGCAUGAGCAAUCAUGCGAAAGCGCCGUCAACAUAUCCCUUUCUACGACAGAUUAUACAGGUUCGGGCUAGUAGCUCAGUUGGUUAGAGCACACGCUUGAUAAGCGUGGGGUCGGAGGUUCAAGUCCUCCCUGGCCCACCACUUAAUCAGCUGUAUAUGAUAAUAUGCAGUUGUCUGGUUAUGGGGGCGUAGCUCAGCUGGGAGAGCACCUGCUUUGCAAGCAGGGGGUCGUCGGUUCGAACCCGUCCGUCUCCACCAUCUUUACUAAGUGGUUGUCGAGAAGUCUGUCGUAAGGGAGUGUUAGAGAUUGGACAUUUCCGUAUAUGGAGCCGCGUUGCGGCGCAUAUGUGGUGUGUGUCUGAUGAGAGAUCUUUGUCAGUGUGAAUCGGUUGGUGCGUAUCUGGGCGUGCCUUUUAGUUGCGGGUUGGUCUGACCCACAGCGUUCUGUUUUUGCGGAAUGAUGUGUUAAGCAACGAAGGCAUGAAUCGUUCAGAUGCGUUUUAAAGAUAUAAGUGACGUACUUGCAUGAUGCAUGCGGGAACAGUCUUAUAUGACUUAGGUUGUAUAGAUGGUUUCUGUGCAUGGUGAGAGUGAGUGCGAUAAGGGCAUUCGG
RNAcentral lists this transfer RNA (659 nucleotides) under Acetobacter thailandicus. RNAcentral's name for it is "partial miscellaneous RNA". The stretch from base 111 to 184 matches the Rfam family "tRNA". The record is from RNAcentral. Lineage: Bacteria; Pseudomonadati; Pseudomonadota; Alphaproteobacteria; Acetobacterales; Acetobacteraceae.